AUAGUUAAUUUACGGUUUUAAGUGGAUGCCUUGGUACUAGGAUUAAGGACGUAUGUAGUUACGAAAAGUUAAGGUUAGUUUAGAAAACUGUGACCCUUAGAUUUCCUUAAAGUAAACUUGUUUUUUUGAAACAAUUUAAUUGAUAUUUAGCGAACUGAAACAUCUAAGUAGCUAAAAGAAAAAAAAUCAAACGAGAUUUCGUAAGUAGUGGCGAGCGAAAGCGAAAUAGGUUUUUAAAAUUUACAUUAUAUUAUAAAAAUUUAUUAUUAUAAAAGGUUUAAAUCCUGUAUAUUUUAUAAUGUAUUAAUAAAAGAGUAUCUCAAUACACGUGUAAUAUUGAGAAAAUAUAGGGGGACCUUCCUCUAAACCUAAAUAUAACUUAGUGACCGAUAGUGAACAAGUACCGUGAGGGAAAGGUAAAAAGAGUAUAUAGAUCGGGAUAGUGAAAGAAUCUGAAAUUUAAAAUCAAGAAGCAAUUGAAUAUUUUAUAUAAUAUUCAGUGUACCUUUUGCAUAAUGGGCUAACGAGUUUAUUUAUUUAGCGAGCUUAAAUUAUUAAAUGUAGGCGUAGCUGAAAGCGAAUUUUAAAAAGUUUAUAGUUAAAUAAAUAAGACCCGAAACCAAGUGAUCUAAUUAAGAUCAGGUUGAACGUAAAGUAAGAUUUACUGGAGGACCGAACCCGUGUCUGUUGCAAAAGACUGGGAUGAAUUUUGAUUAGGGGUGAAAGGCCAAUCAAACUUGGAGAUAGCUGGUUUUCCACGAAAUCUAUUUAAGUAGAGUAUUGUUCAUAAAUUUAAAUUAAGGUAGAGCACUUAUUGAGUGAUGGGGGUUUUAAACUUUACUAAUCUUUGUAAAACUUCGAAUAUAAUUUAUUUUUGUACAAUAAACAGACUAUAGGUGCUAAGAUCUAUAGUCAAGAGGGUAACAGCCCUGAUUGUUAAAUAAGGUCUCUAAAUUACUUGUAAGUGUUAAAGGAAGUAUUACGAUGUAGACAAUCAAAAGGUAGGCUUAGUAGCAGUCAUCCUCUCAGGAGUGCGUAAAAGCUCAUUGAUUUAGUUGUAAGCGCCUAAAAUAUUGGAGGCUUAACAAGUAUACCGAAUUUGCAAUUUUAUUUUUUUAAAAGGUAGUGGAACGUUCUAUAUGCUGUAGAAGGUAAGUUGUUAAAUUUACUGGAGGUAUUAGAAGUGAAAAUGUUAGCAUCAGUAUUAUAAAUAACGUCAAUUUUAAUAAAAGCGUUAUGACCGUAAGCCUAAGGGUUUUCAACGUAUGAUAAUCGUGUUGAAGUUAGACGGCCCCUAAGGGUAAAACGAAAGUUGAUCUCGAUGGGAAAUAAUGUUAAUAUUCAUUAUAUUAUUAAAUAUGACGGACAUUUAUUUUUGUUUUUAUUAUAUAAAAUUAAUAAAAUAAGAAAAUGUGUUCCAAGAAAUAGUAUUUAAUAGAAAAACCGUACCCUAAACCGACACAGGUAGGCUAGUGUAGUACACUAAGGUUUUGGUGUAAUUGUAGUGAAGGAACUCGGCAAAAUGCUCUUGUAACUUCUGGAUAAAAGAGACCUUUUUUAAAGGUGACACAUAAUCGGGGGUAGCGACUGUUUAAUAAAAACACAGGACUCUGCUAAAUUGAAAAAUGAAGUAUAGGGUCUGACACCUGCCCGGUGCUGUAAAGCUAAUAGGAGGGGUAUAAGCUCCCAAUUGAAGCUCCAGUAAACGGCGGCUGUAACUCUGACGGUCCUAAGGUAGCGAAAUUCCUUGUCGGGUAAUUUCCGACCCGCAUGAAUGGUGUAACGACUUCCCCGCUGUCUCCACUACAAUCCCAAAGAAGUUGAAUUCUUCGUGCAGAUGCGAAGUACUUAUGAUAAGACGAAAAGACCCUAUGCACCUUUACUACAUCUUUACAUUGCUUAUAGGGUUAUUUUGUGCAGGAUAGGUGGGAGUUUUUGACCGUGUGCCGCUAGGUAUAUGCGAGACAUCCUUGAAAUACCACCCUAAAUAACAUCUAAAGCUAACUAAUUAAAAGGACAUUGUAUGGUUGGUAGUUUCUCUGGGGCGGAGACCUCCUAAAAAGUAACGGAGGUGUACAAAGGUAAACUCAGAAUAAUUUAUAUUAUUUAUUGAAGUGUAAUGGCAUAAGUUUGCUUAACUGAAAGACAGACAUGUCGAACAGUAACGAAAGUUGGUCAUAGUGAUCCGGUGUUUGUGAAAGGAAAAAACAUCGCUCAACGGAUAAAAGGUACGCUAGGGAUAACAGGCUAAUGA
Molecule: ribosomal RNA, 2254 nt
Filed under: marine metagenome
Description: bacterial LSU rRNA
Rfam family: Bacterial large subunit ribosomal RNA
Source: RNAcentral